GGGCAAGUGGUGGAAUGGCAUACACGAUGGACUUAAAAUCCAUUGGCUGCAAAGCCGUAAGGGUUCGACUCCCUUCUUGCCCA
RNAcentral lists this transfer RNA (83 nucleotides) under Candidatus Omnitrophota bacterium. Its description in RNAcentral is "tRNA-Leu". It matches the Rfam family "tRNA". From Rfam's summary of the family: Transfer RNA (tRNA) molecules are approximately 80 nucleotides in length. Their secondary structure includes four short double-helical elements and three loops (D, anti-codon, and T loops). The record is from RNAcentral. Lineage: Bacteria; Pseudomonadati; Candidatus Omnitrophota.